CCUACGGGUGGCUGCAGUGGGGAAUAUUGGACAAUGGGCGAAAGCCUGAUCCAGCCAUGCCGCGUGUGUGAAGAAGGCCUUCGGGUUGUAAAGCACUUUCAGUGGGGAAGAAAGCCUUGGGGCUAAUACCCUCGAGGAAGGACAUCACCCACAGAAGAAGCACCGGCUAACUCCGUGCCAGCAGCCGCGGUAAUACGGAGGGUGCGAGCGUUAAUCGGAAUUACUGGGCGUAAAGCGCGCGUAGGCGGUCUGAUAAGCCGGUUGUGAAAGCCCCGGGCUCAACCUGGGAACGGCAUCCGGAACUGUCAGGCUAGAGUGCAGCAGAGGAAGGUAGAAUUCCCGGUGUAGCGGUGAAAUGCGUAGAGAUCGGGAGGAAUACCAGUGGCGAAGGCGGCCUUCUGGACUGACACUGACGCUGAGGUGCGAAAGCGUGGGUAGCAAACAGGAUUAGAUACCCUUGUAGUC
RNAcentral lists this ribosomal RNA (465 nucleotides) under Vreelandella stevensii. RNAcentral describes it as "partial 16S ribosomal RNA". It matches the Rfam family "Bacterial small subunit ribosomal RNA", at positions 338 to 795 of the family's 1533-position model. Lineage: Bacteria; Pseudomonadati; Pseudomonadota; Gammaproteobacteria; Oceanospirillales; Halomonadaceae. The record is from RNAcentral.